This 497-nucleotide ribosomal RNA is filed under the name uncultured bacterium. RNAcentral describes it as "partial 16S ribosomal RNA". It matches the Rfam family "Bacterial small subunit ribosomal RNA", at positions 28 to 507 of the family's 1533-position model. The record is from RNAcentral.
GAUGAACGCUGGCGGCGUGCCUAAUACAUGCAAGUCGAGCGAACAGACGAGGAGCUUGCUCCUCUGACGUUAGCGGCGGACGGGUGAGUAACACGUGGAUAACCUACCUAUAAGACUGGGAUAACGUCGGGAAACCGGAGCUAAUACCGGAUAAUAUAUUGAACCGCAUGGUUCAAUAGUGAAAGACGGUUUUGCUGUCACUUAUAGAUGGAUCCGCGCCCCAUUAGCUAGUUGGUAAGGUAACGGCUUACCAAGGCGACGAUGCGUAGCCGCCCUGAGAGGGUUAUCCGCCACACUGGAACUGACACACGGUCCAGACUCCCACGGCAGGCAGCAGUAGGGAAUCUUCCGCAAUGGGCGGAAGCCUGACGGAGCCACGCCGCGUGAGUGAUGAAGGUCUUCGGAUCGUAAAACUCUGUUAUUAGGGAAGAACAAAUGUGUAAGUAACUAUGCACGUCUUGACGGUACCUAAUCAGAAAGCCACGGCUAACUACGUG